Molecule: non-coding RNA, 5295 nt
Organism: Phasianus colchicus (ring-necked pheasant)
Lineage: Eukaryota; Metazoa; Chordata; Aves; Galliformes; Phasianidae
Source: RefSeq, a predicted model, not a curated record
GUGAAUAGCUGUGACCUCUGACAGAGGAGCUGCAGGAUCUCUUAGUCAUCACAGGGCUACGAGGAGGUUUACCCAUAACAAAUAUCUCUCUCUUUAAAUUAGCCUAGAAAAACCACAAAAGUGUGUCAGUUGAGUGUUUACGAAUGAAGCAUCUUGGGAUUUUUGCUGCUUCAUUCACACAUGCACAUUGGACGUGCUUUCCUUGGUAAGAAAAGGCAAGUAUGUUACAGGUGCAUGUAAUAAUAUUGGUAGUAGAUAGUAUUUUCAUUUUUGCACAUAUUUUCUCAAGGGCUUGCUGCUCUGGCACAUGCACUUAUGCAUUAAAGUGAAGUGAUCAUUCAAGCACAGUGCAUGCAUUUGAAGUAAGAACAGUUGUUGGCACUCUAUCUACUAAAGUAGCUCAUUCAAUACAGGAAAAGUUCAACAGCAGACAGCAGAAACACUGCCUCGAAAAAUACAAAUGACAAAUGUUGUUAUUUGUUGCUGUUAAACAGACACCACACCUUAAAUUUGCAUUUAGAAAGCAAAUACGUACUUGAUGGAAAGUACUUCAAAGAAAAAUUCUAGUUUGGUUAACAUCACCAUUAACCAGCUAAAUACUUGACAUGAAGCUGUACUUAAAAGGAUAGGAGGCAAAUGUGAAUUCCUAGGGCUGCAGGUGAGUAGAGAGGCACAUGAUGCUAGUGGAGUCCUGAUAUGGUGAAAAUCUCUUCUUUGUAUUGUUUAUCUGUUUGUUUGCCAGUAGAAAGUGAUAAGGCAGAAGAGUCUUUUAGGAGUUGGUGAAUGGCCAAAGAAGGGAAAUCAGCAGAGGUCAAGGAGGCAGGAACACAUCAGCAGUUCUCCUCUGGAAAGUGUCUUUAAAGCUCUUCCUUUGGAGAAUAAGUUCUUUCCACCAUCAUGGAUGGAAGUGAUGCUUCUUUUCCAUAUAACUACUUGUACUCUACUGUCCAGAAUCCCAGAUCAUGCUUUAGAGUUGAGCCUUAUUCCAAAUACAUAUAUGCAUAUGGAUGUAUUUUUACAUUAACAGACAUGAAAGUAUAGAGUUUCAAGAACUCCCUUGAACAACUUCACUGGUAGUGCUUGAGUCCUGGAAAUGUCUUUUUUUUUUUUUUUUUUUUUUUUAAAUUUAACAGCUGUAGUAAGACUUUAGUUAUGGAUAACAUGUACAAACAGAAGAGGGCAGGUACGGUCUGUCCUUCCUUCUAAAGCUUAAGCUAGAGGUUAAGUAGAAAGAAAUAAUGGCUGGGCUCCAAUUUUUUUUUUUUUUUUUUUUUUUUAGCUGCAACUGUCCUGGCAAUUUUGUCACUGUUCACUUCUGAAACAAAUUUACCUACUGCUGGAAUGAAAUUAAAUCUUUAUCUCACUUUAUAAAUAUUGCAGAAAAGAAUCUAUUAAUUUAAGCAAUUUUCAAAAAGAAUUAAAAGCUAGAAUUCUUUAACAUCAUUCCCUCAGUUUCAUUCCUCCUAGUUCUUGAUAUUGUGGCUCUUGUAUCUGCAAAGAUGGGGUCAGGGCCUGUAUUUACACGUGUCCUGUGCUUCCCACCAUGCCCAGUAGAGAGCAGUGUGCUGUUUAAGAGGUUGCCAGGAGUAGAAAAAAACCUUUUUUUUUUUUUUUUUUUCCCCAAGAAAAAAUAUUCCCUCCGUUUUCAUCUGUGAUUAACCUGCCUUCCUUAAACAAGGACGAGACAUAUCAGGGUCACCUAAAAAUGCCUUUCUGCUGCUUUUAUUCAAAGUGGAAGAAACAAAUGCUCUGCUGUGUUUCACACCUUCCUUGAAGUAGAAGGCACUGAAGCCCAUGAUAGAUUCAUACCCUAGCAAGAACUCCUAGGGAAUAACUUCCCUUCAGGAAAACAACAACAACAACAAACAACAAAAAACCAAAAAACCCUGCAACUUGCGGACCUUAAGAAGUCCAUUACAUUUAGACUGUGUGUUAAUGGAAAACCUAAGAUGUAGGUUUUUCAAUGAUGUGCUUUUUUUUUUUCUUUUUUUCUUUUAAAUCAUGGAGCUAAUGAUCACUUUUCCCAGGACAAUUUCUCAAACUUUUAAUGUGACUCUUCUUCCUUGUCACAAGGACACUCUGGGAGUCAUCACUGGAAAUUGAUUUUGGUCUAACUUGCACUGGGAAUUUAUCUGCUUAGAGCUGUAGUCUCUUUCCAGAAUUCAUUUUUCUGCCACAGAAUAGCAGUGCUGACAGAAAGUGUAAUCUUGAAGAGAGAAUAAUCCUUGUUUAGUCUAAUUGAUUUAGAAUGUUACUCUGUGUAGUAGUGCUUUAUGGUAAAACUUAGAGCUGUCUUCCUUGGCUUUGGGUUGAAAUUAAACAGUGUUUUCAAGUACAAAUAUUACUUUGUUUCCAUUUACUUGGAUAUUGUUCAGUAUUCUUAUUCAAAUGAAUGAAACAGAAGUCCUGGCGUGAACUUUUGAAAGUGAGCUGAAGGUCUUCUGCUGUGCUAGUAUCUUGGAGGGCUACUUCACAAGUAAUGUCUCAUGUUACGUUGGCAUUUGAUGUCAGAAGUGGAUGGUGGUGGUAUGGAAGUAGACAUUAAACCUUCCCAUCUAUAUUCCAUUGCAGUUUAUUGCGGUGUGGUGGAUGGCAGCAGAGGGGCAGUCUGACAGCAUGGUGUCUGGCAUGGAAACAAGUAUGAACCAAAGGUGUGUCAUUGAAUUGCUCCACAUGGAAAAAAUGGUACCCACUGAUAUUCAUCGGUGCUUGCUCCAUAGAGACCAAACAGUGGGUGUGAACACACUGAGGCGGUGAGUGGUGCAUUUCAGCAGUGGGACCACGAUGGUGGAUCCACCUUGGCUGGUACAGGUUUUCACUAGUGCAGCAUGCAGGGUUUUAUUCAUCACUGGCAAAAAUGCAUAGCUAAUGGUGACUGUGCUUUGCAGCUGAAAAUUUGCUCUAUCAAAUAGUGUUAUUGUGCUCCUUGUAUCUGUUGUAGUUUCCAUGGAAAUAAAUAGGAGGCAUUCCUUUCAGAGAUGCCUAUGUAUUUCAUUAUAUUACAGAGAUUACAGUUUUUCCUCGCUUUUCAUUUGAAGAAGGCCUAUCUUAAUCCUCCACAUGCUAUGUUACUUAAUGUUAGUAAGGGAGACAAUAGAUGCUUAGGAUUAGCCUUGCACUUAUUAAAUAUUAGUGAGCAUUUUCAAGAACCCAUGCUUGAGAAAUGCAGUUACCUUUACCUUCAGUGAAUCUUUCUCCUGCUCAUGUAAAAGUUUAGAAAGGAGAGGAGGUGAGAGGGAAGCAGCAAAGUGGGAUGUUGUAAGAACAGAGUGAGAAGCUGGUGUGUUGGCAGAGUGAAAUGGUUGAUUUGAAUGAAGGUGGAAAGGACUAUCAGACUCUUCUGAUGUUUUCGUAGAAAGCAGAGCUGUCUUAAACAGUUAAAAAAGAUGACAAGUAAUUAUGCUAUACAACCAGCUAUUAUGGAUAUAACACACCCAAUAAGGAGUCAUGUAAAAAACAUGGACAGUCAGAAAUAGGAUGCUAAUUUUGAUUAUUUGUCAUUCUUCUACUAUGGAAGAAAAUUCUUCUCUCAAAAAUUAAAACAAAUUACUAUUUGUGGCAGUGGAUUUCACCUUUAUUUUUACUGUUUUCUCUCAUGUUGUUCAGGUCAAGUAAGGGCAAAGGAAGCCUGUGAAAUCUUUCUAAUUAAUUAGUUUUACAUUUGGCCUAAAACAUUUCAAGAGUGAGACUGUUCAGGCAGUUGCUUUGACUGGCUCAUGCAAGCAUGUAAAGCAAAUGCUCUGGAGAAUAAGUACUGGACAGAGAAAUUUUGUUCUAAAAGUGCCUGGAAACCACACAAACUGUGUAGCAACAUCAUAACGUUUAAUGGCUAGCACGCACUGGAGAUAGUUCAUUGUUGUACUGUUCCAGAGAGGAACCAGGGCAGGCUGCAUGGGGAAGGAUAUGUUUAACUGCCAAAUGUAAUCUGAUCUGUUUCUAGUCACAUUCUAGAAACAGUCUACUAUAAAUAUAUCAGCUGGUGAAGUGACACAUGUGAUGUACAAACGCCUGAGUCUCCACAGGAGACGUAUCCUUCCCUCUGAAUAACGCUCAUAGCAUUUCUGGGGUCUUGUGCUCAGAAGGGUGGCAGAGUGAGGAGAAUGAUUCCCUGGCUUUUUAUGAAAGAUGAUAGAAGUCAACAAUGACAGAAGGAGAGGAGAAGCAGGACUGAGACACCCUAGAACUUAGCAUUGUCAGCACCUGCUUAUGAGGAGAGACUAUGCCUUAACUGACAAUUUUUAUUCAACACCACAGAAUAAGACUCUGCCUGCACACAGUACAAAAACAUAAAUACAAGGAAAGGAAGAGAAAAAUUAUACUGAGUUACUUAUCUGAACACAGAAGCCAUGAUUUUUGGAAAUUAAAAUACCUUAUAGAUACUUGGUGAUGUGCAUCCUUCACAACAUACUAUGGAAUCUCCUCUACUUCCUACAGGAAAUUCUAAAUUGUCACAUAUCAAAUCUUCUUCUAUAUAGAGUUUUAUCAGUUCUUCUGUUGCGUCUUCUGAUUCUCUGUAGAAAUUUGAUUCUUGAGGCUCUGACUGAUCUCCUAAUUCAAUUGACAGAUCUGCUGUACAGAUUUCCUCUUCAUUUUCAGCACUUGCAGCUGGCAUGGCAGAAAUGGAACUACAUUUAUGUAAGAAAGGAAUGUUGCAGGUGGACUACAGGAGAAGCAUGUAGCAUGUCUGGAUGUUCUGCACCUGCUCUCUCAAGAUGAUCACAGCAGCUUUAGAACAGGAGCAGCCACCAAUAGCUCUGCAGUUCUCACAGGAUGCACUUAAGACCACUAUAGUUUAUCUUGGUAUGGGAUAUAUUACAUCCUGCAGAAAAUCUGUGGUAAGACAAACGUAUGGAAGAUUCUGAAGCACUGUGCAGAAUUUUGGUGAGAAAGCAAUCUAUCUACAACAGCACACUAAGCAUGCUACUUUAUGGAACCUAAAUAUGAUUUACAACAAAGACCAUUCAGUGGGCAUCCCUGAGGACUUGCUAUAAGAAGGUGAAGAUGCACAGCCACUCACAUGUUCAACUCCUCUUCUGUCCCUUGGAGUACAUCGUCCCACAUCGGUGAAAGCAGAAUAGUUUCCAGGAGUUUCCUGGUCUACUGAAAACAGAACAUCAUUAUGUGAAACCGUGGUAAAAUAAACACAUUGAAAUCUGGCAUAUUACUUGGUAUCUUUUAAAGGAAUAAAGAGAUACUGAUUCUAUAAUUUCACAUUUAAAGCAUGUUAUGUUAUGGUUAAAGUUGAUCUUUAAAGAAACAAAGAUACCAACUCUUAAGCCAAGGCUUUCCUCUGAU